CCGGGGGCGACGAGCUGCCUUGGGCCCGCCGCUCACGGGGAGGCGCCUUCCCGAGCCCAUGCCCGUGCCCAGCAGCGGCCGGAUAUGAUCCAAGGUGCUGAAAACUUCCUAACAAAACUCUUCAGCCGAAUCUGGCACGCCUAUGGUUCCAGCUACUGGGUAGACUGAGGCAGGAGGAUCGCUUGAGGCCAAGAGUUCAAGGCCAACCUGGGCAACAUGGUGAGACCCCCCCCUCCCCCCCAGUCUCUCCAAAACAAACAAACCCCACAUUCUCCAGUCUUAGGUCUUCAAGGAUGAACAGACAUUGCAGAAAGGCACGGUUGGGAACAGAAAAAAAUGAUCUCCACUCCCCCAGCCCCCUCCACACCUUGGGCACAUUUCCCUGGAGCCGCCCGAGUGUUCUUUGUCAGUGUAGGAAGAAGCAAAAAUCUAAAUGGAGUCAGGAUGGCCUCCCACAUGGGCACAAGGACAAGGCUGGGGACAGUUGGGUCUCCUCAUCUUAUUUCCCAGGUCUAGGCUGAUUUCUAUUAAUAAUUAAAUUAAUCGUUGUUCUCCUGGACCUCACUUCUUAAUGUGAUUCCAGGAAACUGGCCACAUUCCAAAAUUCAUAAUCUAAGGUAGUGAAAUAACGUGAGCAUCAAGACAGUUUGGCUGGGCUCAGAGGCUCACAUCUGUAAUCCCAGUACUUUGGGAGGCCGAGGGUAGAUCCCUUGAGCCCAGGAGUUCGAGACCAGCCUGGGCAACAUGGCGAAAUCCCAUCUCUACAAAAAAUACAAAAAUUAGCCAGAUGUGGUGGCAUGUGCCUGUAGUCCCAGUUACUUGGGAGACUGCGGUGGAAGGAUUGCCUGAGCCCAGGAAAGGGAGGUUGCGGUGAAUGGGGAUCCCACCACUGCACUCCAGCCUGGGUGACAGCGUAAGACUCUGUCUCAAAAACAAAAGAUUCAUUUCUUAUUGAUAAAGCAAGCUCCUUGGAGAAAGAUCUUGGAACCUCAUUGGGAGUGGAGGUGGGGCUUCUUCAAUCCAGCCGAGCUGGCUGUGAAACCCCCAGGGUUUGGUACCAAGUGAGCUCCAGUCCCAGCUGUGGCUGACUGUGUGAACUUGGCUAUGCAUUCAAGGGCCUCUGAGCCUCAGUUUCCUCAUCUG
RNAcentral lists this long non-coding RNA (1143 nucleotides) under Homo sapiens (human). RNAcentral's name for it is "non-protein coding lnc-POTEB-5:1". The record is from RNAcentral. Lineage: Eukaryota; Metazoa; Chordata; Mammalia; Primates; Hominidae.